Molecule: long non-coding RNA, 193 nt
Organism: Protobothrops mucrosquamatus (brown spotted pit viper)
Lineage: Eukaryota; Metazoa; Chordata; Lepidosauria; Squamata; Viperidae
Exons: 3
Source: RefSeq, a predicted model, not a curated record
ACUUGCUGGGGUCUGUCUUUUGUGGUACCUGGCAUUAUAAUAUCCUUAAUGGGGAUUAUAUGCUACCUGUUUCUUAUUGAACAUCCUAAGGAUGUAAACGAUACAGUCAAAUCAUCAACUAAACGUUACCUGAAAGGCUCAAGUAAAUUCAGGAUUUUGAAGCCAGCAGUAAGCAGUAAGGUAACAGAGACAU